RNAcentral lists this ribosomal RNA (468 nucleotides) under uncultured bacterium. RNAcentral describes it as "partial 16S ribosomal RNA". It matches the Rfam family "Bacterial small subunit ribosomal RNA", at positions 28 to 507 of the family's 1533-position model. The record is from RNAcentral.
GACGAACGCUGGCGGCGUGCUUAACACAUGCAAGUCGAACGGAAAGGCCCUGCUUUUGUUGGGUGCUCGAGUGGCGAACGGGUGAGUAACACGUGAGUAACCUGCCCUUGACUUUGGGAUAACUUCAGGAAACUGGGGCUCAUACCGGAUAUGAGCUCCUGCUGCAUGGUGGGGGUUGGAAAGUUUCGGCGGUUGGGGAUGGACUCGCGGCUUAUCAGCUUGUUGGUGGGGUAGUGGCUUACCAAGGCUUUGACGGGUAGCCGGCCUGAGAGGGUGACCGGCCACAUGGGGACUGAGAUACGGCCCAGACUCCUACGGGAGGCAGCAGUGGGGAAUAUUGCACAAUGGGCGGAAGCCUGAUGCAGCAACGCCGCGUGCGGGAUGACGGCCUUCGGGUUGUAAACCGCUUUCGCCUGUGACGAAGCGUGAGUGACGGUAAUGGGUAAAGAAGCACCGGCUAACUACGUG